GAUGAACGCUGGCGGCGUGCUUAACACAUGCAAGUCGAACGGUGAAGGCGGAGCUUGCUCUGCUGGAUCAGUGGCGAACGGGUGAGUAACACGUGAGCAAUCUGCCCCUGACUCUGGGAUAAGCGCUGGAAACGGCGUCUAAUACUGGAUACGAGCUGCGAAGGCAUCUUCAGCAGCUGGAAAGAACUUCGGUCAGGGAUGAGCUCGCGGCCUAUCAGCUUGUUGGUGAGGUAACGGCUCACCAAGGCGUCGACGGGUAGCCGGCCUGAGAGGGUGACCGGCCACACUGGGACUGAGAAACGGCCCAGACUCCUACGGGAGGCAGCAGUGGGGAAUAUUGCACAAUGGGCGAAAGCCUGAUGCAGCAACGCCGCGUGAGGGACGACGGCCUUCGGGUUGUAAACCUCUUUUAGCAGGGAAGAAGCGAAAGUGACGGUACCUGCAGAAAAAGCGCCGGCUAACUACGUG
RNAcentral lists this ribosomal RNA (468 nucleotides) under uncultured bacterium. RNAcentral describes it as "partial 16S ribosomal RNA". It matches the Rfam family "Bacterial small subunit ribosomal RNA", at positions 28 to 507 of the family's 1533-position model. The record is from RNAcentral.